GUCUGCUGUUUGUCUUCUUCAUGUAUGUCUUUAAUGGGAUUCAAACAGAAGACACUGACAGGAAGUGAACUGCUGAAGAUGGAUCAUCAGAGUUCAUCUGCUGAGGUCAAAGUGAAAUGUUUUUACACUGUUCAGAGUGGAGGCAGAAAUGUUCCAUCUCCACACAGUGACACAGUCUCCAUCAGCAUACAAACUCUUCCUCAACCUGACCUGAUGGUGGAUCCAGCAGUGAUCACAGAGACAGACUCAGUCACACUGAAGUGUCA
Labrus bergylta (ballan wrasse) is the source of this 266-nucleotide non-coding RNA. The record is from RefSeq and is a predicted model, not a curated record. NCBI's taxonomy places the organism in Eukaryota, Metazoa, Chordata, Actinopteri, Labriformes, Labridae.